AAUAGUAUGAUGGCGUAGAGAGGCGUCCUGCAUGGGCGGAAGCAGGGUUGCAAGAUCCUGUGGACCGUGCAGGAAUGAAAAUUCUGGCAGUAGUAGAAGCUUAAGAUUGGUGAGAAUCCAAUCCGCCGCAGGGGCUAGGUUUCCUCGACAAUGUUCGUCAGUCGAGGGUUAGUCGGCCCUAAGACGUACCGUAAUUCGAGUACGCCGAAAGGGAAACAGGUUAAUAUUCCUGUACCUGUAUCAAACAAUCCUGACGCUUUCGGAUAGGCAUUGCGGAGUCAUCGCUCCGUCUAAGCCGGAUAUGAAAUUGGAGUACCGUAAUGGUGAGAAUUUUUCAAAACGGUGAUGGGGUAACAAUGCUGAUUCCAGGAGCCCGUGAAAAGGGUGAUACGGUCCGUACCGAGAACUGACACAGGUGCCCCUCGCUGAGAAGGCGAAGGCGUGUCGGGAGUAAAUGUGUUAAGGGAACUCGGCAAAUUAGCCCUGUAACUUUGGGAUAAGGGGUGCCUGCCCAGCGAUUGGGCAGGUCGCAGUGACAAGAUUGCUCCGACUGUCUAAUAACAACAUAGCAGACUGCAACUCCGAAAGGACUCGUAUAGUCUGUGAUUCCUGCCCAGUGCGAGUAUCUGAACACCGGGUUCAACCGGACGAAGGACUCGUAAACGGCGGGGGUAACAAUGACCCUCUUAAGGUAGCGUAGUACCUUGUCGCUUAAUUGGCGACUUGCAUGAAUGGAAUAACGAGAGCGAUACUGUCCCUAACACAUACCCGUUGAACCUUUUGUACUAGUGCAGAGACUAGUGACUCCUUAUGGGAAGUGAAGACCCCGUGGAGCUUUACUGCAGCCUGUCGUUGGGUUACGGUAUUACCUGCGCAGGGUAGAUGGGAGACGUCGAUCCAACCCUUGUGGGGGUUGGUUAGUCACCGAUGAGACACCGUCCUGGUUUUAUUGUAAUUCUAACUGAUUUAUCAGGACAUCGAUAGGUAGGCAGUUUGGGUGGGGCGCCACACCCUCGAAAAAAUAUCAAGGGUGCCCUAAGGUCAACUCAAGCGGGUCAGAAACCCGCUGAAGAGUGUCAAGAGCAAAAGUUGGCCUGACGCGAUUUCGCAUAGCAAGAAAUCGCGAGAGGAAACUCGGGUCUAACGAACCAAUACGCCCUGUUGAUGAGGGCUAUUGACUACAGAAAAGCUACCCCGGGGAUAACAGAGUCGUCGCCGGCAAGAGCACAUAUCGACCCGGCGGCUUGCUACCUCGAUGUCGGUUCUUUCCAUCCUGGCUGUGCAGCAGCAGCCAAGGGUGAGGUUGUUCGCCUAUUAAAGGGGAUCGUGAGCUGGGUUUAGACCGUCGUGAGACAGGUCGGUUACUAUCUAUAAGGAGUGUUGGAAGUCUGAAGGCAAGAAUGAAAUAGUACGAGAGGAACUUUCAUUCGGCGCCACUGGUCUACCGGUUGUCUGACAAGGCAACGCCGGGCAGCUACGCGCCAAGAGAUAAAAGCUGAAAGCAUCUAGCUUGAAACUCAGCCUGAACAAGAGACUUCAUUAAAGACACGGGUAAAAGACCCGGUUGAUAGGUUCGGGAUGUACGCACGAAGGCAACGACGUGUUCAGUCCGCGAAUACUAAUCGUCUCAAUAAAAGA
Molecule: ribosomal RNA, 1638 nt
Filed under: metagenome
Description: bacterial LSU rRNA
Rfam family: Archaeal large subunit ribosomal RNA
Source: RNAcentral